RNAcentral lists this ribosomal RNA (507 nucleotides) under Philaccolilus irianensis. Its description in RNAcentral is "partial 16S ribosomal RNA". The stretch from base 384 to 507 matches the Rfam family "Bacterial large subunit ribosomal RNA", at positions 2473 to 2597 of the family's 2925-position model. Lineage: Eukaryota; Metazoa; Arthropoda; Insecta; Coleoptera; Dytiscidae. The record is from RNAcentral.
GUCUUUAAGAUAAAAAUUUAAAGUCUAGCCUGCCCUAUGAAAAAUUUUAAAUGGCCGCAGUAUUUUAACUGUGCAAAGGUAGCAUAAUCAUUAGUUUUUUAAUUGAAAGCUUGUAUGAAAGGUUGGACGAGAUAAUGACUGUCUAUAAUUAAAUAAUUUAAUUUAAUUUUUAAGUUAAAAAGCUUAAAUAUAAUUAAAAGACGAGAAGACCCUAUAGAUCUUUAUUAAAAUUGUAUUUUAUUUUUUUAAAGAAUAUUAAAAUAUAAAAUUUAAUUUUAAUUUAAUUGGGGUAAUUAAAAGAUUUAAUAAAUUCUUUAAUUUAUAAACAUAAAUUAAUGGUUAAAGUAUCCAUUUUUAAUGAAUUAAGAUUAAGUUACCUUAGGGAUAACAGCGUAAUUUUUUUAGAGAGUUCAUAUCGAUAAAAAAGUUUGCGACCUCGAUGUUGGAUUAAAAGUAAUUUUAGGUGAAGAAGUUUAAAAUUUUAGUCUGUUCGACUAUUAAAUUUUU